RNAcentral lists this ribosomal RNA (271 nucleotides) under uncultured bacterium. RNAcentral's name for it is "partial 16S ribosomal RNA". It matches the Rfam family "Bacterial small subunit ribosomal RNA", at positions 86 to 354 of the family's 1533-position model. The record is from RNAcentral.
UGCCGGCGACCGGCGCACGGGUGAGUAACACGUAUCGCGACCUGCCCCCGCGAGGGGAUAACCGGAGAAAUCCCGACUAAUACCGCGUAACGCCGCGGGGCUGCAUGGCCCGGCGGCCAAAGGAAGCGAUUCCGGCGGGGGAUGGGCAUGCGGCGCAUUAGCUAGUCGGCGGGGUAACGGCCCACCGAGGCGACGAUGCGUAGGGGUUCUGAGAGGAAGGUCCCCCACACUGGUACUGAGACACGGACCAGACUCCUACGGGAGGCAGCAG